CAGCCGUAAACUAUGCGCGUUAGGUGUAUCGGUGACCACGAGUUACCGAGGUGCCGAAGGGAAACCGUGAAACGUGCCGCCUGGGAAGUACGGUCGCAAGGCUGAAACUUAAAGGAAUUGGCGGGGGGAGGCACCACAACAGGUGGAGCCUGCGGUUUAAUUGGACUCAACGCCGGGAAGCUCACCGGAUAGGACAGCAGAAUGAUUGCCGGGCUGAAGACCCUGCAUGACUAGCUGAGAGGAGGUGCAUGGCGUAGACGUCU
Molecule: ribosomal RNA, 263 nt
Filed under: uncultured archaeon
Lineage: Archaea
Description: partial 16S ribosomal RNA
Rfam family: Archaeal small subunit ribosomal RNA
Source: RNAcentral